GAAGCUGCUGAUAUAUUUAACCGUCACUCAUCAGCUUCAUUCAAAUGAUUUUCAGCAUCUAAAGGUGUUUCUCUGCUAUGGAUCAGUGUGAGGACAGAGAGGAGGGAGUCCCUCCCUCUAAAAGCUCUCUGUGUGGGGAACAUGACAGCCAGACCAAAGCUCAGAGUAUCAGGAUGCAGCAGCAGAGAGCAGACUCUCCUGAACCCACCUGUGUGUCCAU
This is a long non-coding RNA of Scomber japonicus (chub mackerel), 220 nucleotides long. RefSeq lists it as uncharacterized. The transcript has 3 exons. The record is from RefSeq and is a predicted model, not a curated record. Lineage: Eukaryota; Metazoa; Chordata; Actinopteri; Scombriformes; Scombridae.